RNAcentral lists this ribosomal RNA (279 nucleotides) under uncultured bacterium. RNAcentral's name for it is "partial 16S ribosomal RNA". It matches the Rfam family "Bacterial small subunit ribosomal RNA", at positions 506 to 784 of the family's 1533-position model. The record is from RNAcentral.
UGCCAGCCGCCGCGGUAAUACGGAGGGGGCUAGCGUUGUUCGGAAUUACUGGGCGUAAAGCGCGUGUAGGCGGUUCGUUAAGUCUGAUGUGAAAGCCCGGGGCUCAACCCCGGAAGUGCAUUGGAAACUGGCGAACUUGAGUACGGGAGAGGAAAGUGGAAUUCCGAGUGUAGGGGUGAAAUCCGUAGAUAUUCGGAGGAACACCAGUGGCGAAGGCGGUUUCCUGGCCAAGUAUUGACGCUGAUUCACGAAAGCGUGGGGAGCAAACAGGAUUAGAUA